RNAcentral lists this transfer RNA (84 nucleotides) under Verrucomicrobiales bacterium. RNAcentral's name for it is "tRNA-Leu". It matches the Rfam family "tRNA". Rfam says of the family: Transfer RNA (tRNA) molecules are approximately 80 nucleotides in length. Their secondary structure includes four short double-helical elements and three loops (D, anti-codon, and T loops). The record is from RNAcentral. RNAcentral also lists the same sequence under 2 other names. Lineage: Bacteria; Pseudomonadati; Verrucomicrobiota; Verrucomicrobiia; Verrucomicrobiales.
GCCGCCAUGGCGAAACCGGUAGACGCAACGGACUUAAAAUCCGUUUGGGGAAACUCAGUGUGGGUUCGAGUCCCACUGGCGGCA